UACGAAGGGGGCUAGCGUUGAUCGGAAUCACUGGGCGUAAAGCGCACGUAGGCGGCUUUUUAAGUCAGGGGUGAAAUCCUGGAGCUCAACUCCAGAACUGCCUUUGAUACUGGCGAUCUUGAGUCCGGGAGAGGUGAGUGGAACUGCGAGUGUAGAGGUGAAAUUCGUAGAUAUUCGCAAGAACACCAGUGGCGAAGGCGGCUCACUGGCCCGGUACUGACGCUGAGACGCGAAAGCGUGGGGAGCAAACAGG
RNAcentral lists this ribosomal RNA (253 nucleotides) under uncultured bacterium. RNAcentral describes it as "partial 16S ribosomal RNA". It matches the Rfam family "Bacterial small subunit ribosomal RNA", at positions 524 to 776 of the family's 1533-position model. The record is from RNAcentral.